This is a long non-coding RNA of Felis catus (domestic cat), 1408 nucleotides long. RefSeq lists it as uncharacterized. The record is from RefSeq and is a predicted model, not a curated record. Lineage: Eukaryota; Metazoa; Chordata; Mammalia; Carnivora; Felidae. The transcript has 7 exons.
AUGAGGCACUUUUCUUUCCUCCAUUCUCGCUUUCAGUUUGCUUGCCUUGCCCUGCUCGGUUCUGUCGCCACGUCUCCUUCAGUCUUCCGUAUCUUGCUCCGGAGCGUGCUCCUAAGGCGUAACUCAAUGCAAGAAGGGACUGUAUCGCUUGUCAUGUCUCAGGUGGCCUUGUCUGAGAAAUGGAACUCUACACACAAUUCCAUGAGGGAUGCAUUGUACGCUAAUGAAAAGAGCAAAGUCUGAAGUCAAACCUGCUUGAAUCACAUCUCUGAGGAUUACUAGUUGGUUAAUCUUGGCAGUCUGUCGUCAACAUGAGAUUAGAAGCAUGGCCUAGUGAGUUCGCUGGUCCAAGAAAGACCUGAGCCCAUCCUGCUGCCUGGAGCCCAGCCCCUGUUGAGAAGACCCCUCUUGUGACCCACAGAUGAAUGGGCAAAGAAAUUCUAUGCUCCAAUGUGCCCGGAGAUAUGAAGCAUGACAAGAACUACCACCCAAGCAGUUGUCAGAAUGAAAAGGCUUUGACAGCGGCUCCUCCAGGGGCUUGCCCUUCUCCCGCAAGCCAUCAACAAUGAAGAUGCUCCUGGGAUGGAAGGAUGGUGACUUUCCAGGCAGAAACUGUUUUCAGAAUCUGUACUUGUUUACUCAAAGGGGAUAUCAAAGAAAAAAGUUAAGGCAUUUCUUGAAUGAGGAAGAAAAGUGAAUGACAAGUAGAUUCGAAACUGAAAGCAAUAAAAUGAAUGUGGCUUUAAAAAAAAAUGCUUUUAAACAAGCGCCCUCCAGCAUCUCAAGAGCAUCAUGACCAGAGAGCAGAGUGCUGUUCUGCCAUCAGAGGAGGACGAGUAGAUCCUGAAUGCGGCCCGAGAGAGACACAAUUCAGAGCUAGGUGGUACCAAGAACAGGGGCCGCCUCUCCUCUGCAAACCCUCUGCUGCCUUCAUUGAACCCAGAGUAAGCCGCAGGUAGGAGCUGAGUGGAUGAGAGUCUCAGUCCUGGAAUUCAGGCUCGUUCUCGGCAUCGGCGCUCACACGUGAUGUCGGAAAUGCUCAGGAUGUUAGCUGACGUCUUGGUGAAAGGAAAGAAGUAGCCUGAAGGGCGGUGUGAUGGUGUGAUGGUGGCUAGGACUUCAGUGAAAAGGCAAGCCCAUGCAUCUGCGAGAGACCAUGGUCAAGAGAUGGCUGCUUUGUACACGUGCUCCCCACAACCCGCAGCCCGGGAGCUGCCCCUCUGCCCCGGUGCCCCCAGGCUCACUCCCCUGGGCUUGGGAGCUGGUAUGGCUCAGCUCUCCAGUGAAUCUUCUUCUCUUUUUGUCAUGAUUAUCACUUCCUGCAGCCCACACCUUCACCAACAUCUCCCAGGGUCUGAGAUACAGAGUGAGUCCUUCUUUCUCUAAAUAAAAAUUUUAUUUUUUAUUA